RNAcentral lists this ribosomal RNA (398 nucleotides) under Globigerinella siphonifera. Its description in RNAcentral is "partial 18S ribosomal RNA". It matches the Rfam family "Eukaryotic small subunit ribosomal RNA", at positions 1463 to 1701 of the family's 1831-position model. The record is from RNAcentral. Lineage: Eukaryota; Foraminifera; Rotaliida; Globigerinidae.
UGUGAUGCCCUCAGAUGUCCCGGGCCGCACACGUGCUACAUUGAUUAGCGCAGUGCGCAUACUUUCAAUAUGAUACAUUGGAUUGGUGGUGAAUUGUUGGCCCCGUCUAAUACUGUCCUGUCUGAGAAGGCUGGGUAAUCAAUUGUAAGUGGUGGUUCCUACUCCCGUUGAGCAUUUUAAUAAUGGCCUCUCUACAUCCCUAGUAACCCUAGUGCGAUUGUAGUUGAGCCUUGCCAUUUAUGCAAGUGUCAAUUCUCAGUGGGGACAGACAUUUGAUAAUUCUUUGUCUCGUUCUUAACUAGGAAUGCCUUGUACGGGUCUUGGUUCAACAGACCACCCGGAAUACGUCCCUGCCCUUUGUACACACCGCCCGUCGCUCUUACCGAUGACUUUCCCUG